Molecule: ribosomal RNA, 336 nt
Filed under: uncultured Bacillota bacterium
Lineage: Bacteria; Bacillati; Bacillota
Description: bacterial SSU rRNA
Rfam family: Bacterial small subunit ribosomal RNA
Source: RNAcentral
GACGAACGCUGGCGGCGUGCCUAAUACAUGCAAGUCGGGCGGGGUUUUGAGGGGCUUGCCCUUCAAAACCCAGCGGCGAACGGGUGAGUAACACGUGGGCAACCUGCCCGCAAGACCGGGAUAACUUCGGGAAACCGGAGCUAAUACCGGAUAGGACCCCGGAUCGCAUGAUCCGGGGGUGGAAAGGCGGCCUCGGCUGCCACUUGCGGAUGGGCCCGCGGCGCAUUAGCUAGUUGGUGAGGUAACGGCUUACCAAGGUGACGAUGCGUAGCCGACCUGAGAGGGUGACCGGCCACACUGGGACUGAGACACGGCCCAGACUCCUACGGGAGGCAG